RNAcentral lists this ribosomal RNA (348 nucleotides) under Triticum aestivum (bread wheat). RNAcentral's name for it is "partial small subunit ribosomal RNA". The record is from RNAcentral. Lineage: Eukaryota; Viridiplantae; Streptophyta; Magnoliopsida; Poales; Poaceae.
AUGUGGCCAACGAUGCCUAGAAGUCCCAUCGUCGUGUCUGCAAGCCUCACCGACAAGCAGAGCAUCACCACGACGAAGAUCGGAACCUCGGGUGCCCUGCAAUUCCGCAACCGAUGCCAUCUCCGCCGCCUCGGCCCGCUGGCCGCCGUCUUCGGUUCGCCGUUGUACGGGGUCCCCGAUGCUCCCUUAUCGUCCAGGAGAUCCACCUGGUGUUGCGGAUCUUCCGAACAUGUCACCGAUGAGAUCUUCUUCGUGAAGCCCCCUCCCCACGACGCUCUCGCUCCGGCGGCCGUAGGCGAGGUCCAUGUACUCGCUAUCGACACUCCCCAACCUCCUCGGCCACUCUAG